Oryctolagus cuniculus (rabbit) is the source of this 718-nucleotide non-coding RNA. The record is from RefSeq and is a predicted model, not a curated record. Lineage: Eukaryota; Metazoa; Chordata; Mammalia; Lagomorpha; Leporidae.
CUCACUCCUUCUCCCCUUCCAUUAACAUCGAGAUUCAUUUUUAUUUCUCUUAUAAACAGAAGAUCAGUUUAGUAUAUAUUAAGUAAAGAUUUCGUUUUCAGCUUUGAGGGCCACAAUGCCUUGGAGCCAGCUGCUCACCUCUGCCACUGCAGCAGGAAAGCCACCGUGGCAACAGACAAGAUCGCUGAACUGCAGAGACCACUAGCCAUGUUGCAGCCAAGUUAAAACAGGCAGACCGCAAAGCAGCAGCACGAACACCGAAAGACCGACACACGGUGCCUGACAGAGAGCAGCGCCUGUCUUUGCAGAGAACUGCGCGCGACAUAUGCUCCUUCUUCCUAAACUCGAAAUGCAGCAGAUUGGGCCAGGUUCCCUACUGGGCCCUCCCCAACUCGCCCAGCUUUGAUUUACAAGAUGAUGCUGAUUAGCCUGUGACCUCUCAGCUUGGCCAAAGAGGACAUCAGUGCACAACUCCAGGGAAGCCCAGAGCUGAAGGUCCAGAACAGCCAGGUCAAUGAGGAAAGCUCCUUAAGACUAAGAGUCAGUGCUGGUGAAUGCUGCAUGGCUCACACACCGGGAAGCACUUGGUAAAUGGAGGGUCCUCAAUACCUGCUGGACUGAACCAACUCACUUCAAUGACGUGGGACCAAUGAACCCGAAGCACAGGAAAUUAAUAAAACCAAAAACAAGCCAAUGGGGGGAAGGCCUUCUUACUACU